AACGAACGCUGGCGGCAGGCUGAACACAUGCAAGUCGAACGCACCGCAAGGUGAGUGGCAGACGGGUGAGGAACACGUGGGAACAUCCCCUUCAGUUCGGAAUAACUCAGGGAAACUUGAGCUAAUACCGGAUACGUCCGUGAGGAGAAAGAUUUAUCGCUGAAGGAAUGGCCCGGGUCUGAUUAGCUAGUUGGGGAGGUAACGGCUCACCAAGGCUACGAUCAGCAGCUGAUCUGAGAGGAUGAUCAGCCACAUUGGGACUGAGACACGGCCCAAACUCCUACGGGAGGCAGCAGUGGGGAAUAUUGGACAAUGGGCGCAAGCCUGAUCCAGCCAUGCCGCGUGAGUGAUGAAGGCCUUCGGGUUGUAAAGCUCUUUUGUCCGGGAAGAUAAUGACUGUACCGGAAGAAUAAGCCCCGGCAAACUUCGUGCCAGCAGCCGCCGUAA
RNAcentral lists this ribosomal RNA (447 nucleotides) under uncultured bacterium. Its description in RNAcentral is "partial 16S ribosomal RNA". It matches the Rfam family "Bacterial small subunit ribosomal RNA", at positions 29 to 523 of the family's 1533-position model. The record is from RNAcentral.